This 104-nucleotide small nuclear RNA is filed under the name Trichophyton rubrum BMU01672. Lineage: Eukaryota; Fungi; Ascomycota; Eurotiomycetes; Onygenales; Arthrodermataceae. The record is from RNAcentral.
GCCUUCGGGCAUUUGGUCAUAGUAACGAUACAGAGAAGAUUAGCAUGGCCCCUGCACUAAGGAUGACACGCUCAAUCAAAGAGAAGCUACCAGUUUUUUUUUGG